This 253-nucleotide ribosomal RNA is filed under the name uncultured bacterium. RNAcentral describes it as "partial 16S ribosomal RNA". It matches the Rfam family "Bacterial small subunit ribosomal RNA", at positions 524 to 776 of the family's 1533-position model. The record is from RNAcentral.
UACAGAGGGCUCAAGCGUUGUUCGGAUUCAUUGGGCGUAAAGGGUGCGUAGGUGGCAUGGUCAGUCGGAUGUGAAAUCCCGGGGCUCAACCUCGGAACUGCAUUCGAUACUGCCGCGCUAGAGUACUGGAGAGGAGAUUGGAAUUUACGGUGUAGCAGUGAAAUGCGUAGAUAUCGUAAGGAAGACCAGUGGCGAAGGCGGAUCUCUGGACAGUUACUGACACUGAGGCACGAAGGCCAGGGGAGCAAACGGG